Uranotaenia lowii is the source of this 494-nucleotide long non-coding RNA. RefSeq lists it as uncharacterized. The record is from RefSeq and is a predicted model, not a curated record. The transcript is spliced from 3 exons. NCBI's taxonomy places the organism in Eukaryota, Metazoa, Arthropoda, Insecta, Diptera, Culicidae.
CGAAGAAAUUACAAUCAAAUCCGCUUAAUCCGUAUAAUCAAAUUUAGUAUUUCUUUAGGGCUACCGUGCAAUCGAACAAUGGUAUUACAGAAAAACCUUAGGACAACCACUAUAUUAGGUUCUGGGAUUAACAGCUUCCAAAAGUUCGAAAAGCGGAAACUAUUUCCGAAAACAGGAGGAUUUUUGCAGUACCAAUUUGGCAGAGAUGUUAUGUGUUAUACUGGUUACACAGCGACUCUUACACAAACCGGUCUCCGUAAUACAUGUUCUACGUUUUGCGCAUCAUGAUUCAUUCAGGAAGUACCAAAUAAAACUGUAUCAAAGUUUUUGGUUUUUUCAACCAAAAUAAAUAUCAGUUGGAUAAAAUGUGAAGCAGGCUGCGAGCCAUUAAAAUGGCGCCUGGAAGAAGAGAUAUAAUAAAAGAUGAUACACAACAUUCUAAUGUAUAAAAACGAUUAUCAAAAUUAUUGAUGUGUAUAUUUUGUUAAAGCUUU